This 1825-nucleotide long non-coding RNA is filed under the name Macaca mulatta (Rhesus monkey). RNAcentral's name for it is "lncRNA (ENSMMUG00000050699.1)". The record is from RNAcentral. Lineage: Eukaryota; Metazoa; Chordata; Mammalia; Primates; Cercopithecidae.
AGUGCUCAGGAUCUGCCGGAAUCCAGGAUGCACCGCCUUCUUGUUGCUGUUUGGUGACUGCCAUGGGGGAGAUUUGGGCUGCCUGGAAUACUUCUGGACUGUUUCACUGCAUGGACUUCAUGCUGAGCUCGGACAGUUGGGGCCCAAGUUUUGCUUGAGUUAAAUCACGGACAGAACUUAAAGAUGCCUCCCAGACCCUCACUGCCCAGCCGCUGUGUCGAAGGGGAAGCCCUUGGCCUGAGGAAUGAUCCAACUAUAGCUUCCCUGACCUGACCUCAAGAAAGAUGCAAGCCUCCUGUAUGACACCAAAGCUUCGUUUGCUCCCACAGCUCUUACCCGCGACUUUCCUAACUCCCAAGGCAUCCCGUGAGCUGUGGAGGACUCCAGCAGUGAGUCAUCAGUGAUCCGAACUGUCUGAUCUCUUGCUAUGUUUGGGGCUUUCCCUCUGUCUCUGAAGACUUUUAGUGGCAUCCCAGAAAUUAAGAACUUUCCCCUGUGCUUUAUGUUUUCUAAUAUCACAUAGCAAAGAUCUACACGGCAGCAUUUGAGUCCAAAUGCUACUGAAUCUUAAUGAUCACUUGUCAAUCUCUAAGUGUCAUUUGGAGCAUCACACAGAGCAACAACAAGUGCUCAUUCUUUUCCGCUAAGAGGAUCCCUUGCAUAAGGACCCCUUUUCCUCAUCUUCAUUUUGAGGGAUGUUCAAAAAAGUGUUUUCAGAAGUCCGUAAAUGGACUAUGAAACUUUUUAUUUGUGUAUUUCUUAAUUUUUAUUUUUUUUAGAGAGAAGAGGUCUUGCUAUAUUGUCCAGGAUGGACUUGAACUCCCAAUCUCAAGCAAUCCUUCUGCCUCUGCCUCUCAAAGUGCCGGGAUUACAGGCAUUAACCACCACGCCUAGCCUGAAUAUAUAUUUUUUAAUUUGAAGAUUUUACUUUUAUAACUUUGACAUAUUGAAAAAAUAAGAUGGCUGUAAAGUUUUGUUCUCUCUCCCAUUGAGAGACAGAGUCUAUUUCUCCCUGGAAGCUAAACUUGGUCACAUCACUUGUUUUGGCCAAUAAGUCACUAGCAAAUAUGGCAUGAGCAGUAGCUUGAGAAAGGUUGUCCCCUUAGGGUUUGUCUUCUCUUGCUGACUUUGGAACUCAGCAGCCAUGGGAAGAAGGCAGGGCUGGUCAGCUAGAAGCUCGACUUAUGCCAUCCCAGUCAACUGCCAAACACGUGAGUGAGGCCAUCCAGGAUCCAGUGACCACAGCCAAAUGAGAGGGCCAUGGCAAGUCUAGUAGAAGAACUGCCCAACUGUGCUCAGCUUGAAUUGCCAAUCCACAGAAUUACGAGCUAACGAAUAAGUGUUGCUUUAAAUCACUAAGUUUUUGGGGGUAGUUUCCUACUUAGUGAAACCUGAGAUGAUGACAGCAUAACAAAAUGAACAUAAGCAUCUCCUGGAGCAUGUGUAUAACCACCUUAUGCUGACGCUGUCACACGCUUCCUAUGUGCAUGUUUGAGAUUGUGUCUAUGAUCUUAUUAAUUGCAUUCAAUUUGCUUAUAAACUAAUGAGAUAAGAGCAGUGCAUGUAACACAUUUGUUCCGAGUGAGGUAAAUGAAGUCCCAGCCCUUUAUACAAAUGGGGUAAGAGGUGAAAUGGGGAAACUGGGAGAAUUGGUGAAGAACUCAGUCAUAACGAGUCACACAAUUUUUCCACAAAUCGUAAUUGUGUCCAUGUGGUUUUAUAAAGGAAAGUGAGCCAUUAAGUAUAAGGAAAUUGUACCUAUGCUUUUAUUUUUACAUGUUCAUGUGCUUAAACAACAUGCUAAUAAAUGCAUAUUUAAAUAACA